Molecule: RNA transcript, 2898 nt
Organism: Synchiropus splendidus (mandarinfish)
Lineage: Eukaryota; Metazoa; Chordata; Actinopteri; Syngnathiformes; Callionymidae
Exons: 15
Source: RefSeq, a predicted model, not a curated record
CGUGAUGUGGACGCCGACGUUUCUUUGGAUAUGUGAAUUUAUGCUUUGGAUGAAUAAUUCAAUUAUACAAACACGUCGGACUUUGACGUCAUCAGUGGUCGACAAGAACAAAAACAUGGCGGAAAGUCGUUCGGCUUGACUUCGGUAAAAACUCCUCUUCUUUUUUGUUUAUCAUCCUUUCGUCUAUGUAGAGUCUGUCAGUGAUUUUGUAGAAUUGCAAUACUGCGUUCGCUGUUGGUACUGUAGAAGCUUAUUUUGUUGAGUUGCCAUAGUUGGCAGGGGGGUGUUAUGUUGGACUGCGCGGGUUUUUGGGUCGUGUCUAACGGAGACUGAAGGCACGAAUAAUGUUGUUAUCUUGCUGCACCAACGAACUUGGACCUUAUUGACUGCUGUCCCCGCGGAUUUACCAAAUAUAACCCUCGGCUACAAUACUGCGGACACCAAAGACGCAAAGCUGAAUGAUUUUGACUCACGUCCACUGUUUAAAAUCAAGUGGCCACUGAUAAAUUGGUAUUCAGGCUGUACUCUGACGAUGAUGCCUUAUUUCUUGCUGAUUUGCUGUUGGAGGAAUCGAAGAAUACUUAACCUCAAGAAUCCUCAGAAGUGUCUGGACCGGACAAAUUUUUAUUUGUUUGGGUUGAGAAGGACGAGGAAGGGAAUCCUAUCCCAAAGAGGAGGAGAACCGGGAAGAAGCGGGCAAAGAGGUGAUUUCCUCAGGUGAGAGACAAUGGUCAAUUGUCAAUUGGGUCAAUGAGUCCUCACAUAUUGCACCCACCCAGUGAAUACAUCCUACUGCAUGGAUCCUCUACUACACUUGGACGGUGAUUUCUGGGAGCAUGCACUCAUUGCCAUGUGCGCCAUCUACAAGUGGACAUCAGUACGUGACUGAGACCGUUCAAGAUAUAGGAUCCCUCAUUCAAGAGGUGCAGGACCUUUUGGGACCUGCCAUAGACCCAGCACCUUCACACUGGAAAGACAGGAAAGCUUCAACUCUGGAAAAGUGGACUGUGUUAAGGCCGUAUAUGGUUAAUCAGAUGUUACAGUCUGAGAAGCCUAUAGAGGGAACUUGUCACCACUGCAGAUCCAAGACUGCUGUUGUGAAAUGUCAGGAUUGUUUGCCGAGACCACUUCACUGUGCAGCCUGUGAUGUUUCCAUCCACAAUUCCAUGGUUUUACAUAAUAGAUCAUCCAUGAUAGAGGGAUUCUACAGGCCACUGCCACCAACCACUCACAUCAGGGAAGAGAAGGGAGGAAAAUUCUCCUUCAAUGAAAGAGAGUGCAUUUUGCCAGUAAUGCAUCCAUGCUGCGACUGCUGCUCUGGGCAAACAACCUUUUCUGCAGGAAAGCAAGUAAUUCUGAUUGGAAUGAAUGGUCGAUACAAUGUGUCCCUCCCAACUGUCAGCUGCUCCUGUGGGAAAGCUUUGGAUGUCGGUAUUAGUGAGCUGAUUGAAAGUGGCUACUGGCCAGCUACAGUCAAUUUUGAGACGAUGUACACAGUGGAUUUGUUCGCGACAUACGAAGAUCUCAAGAUUACUGCACCAGGAAUGUCAUGACAAGCUUUCGUUGGUAUGCUUGAGCAGCGCACAAAACUCUUUGGUCGGUGUGGUAAAAUAUGUGGCGACACCAUGCAAAAAUCAUUCCUGGAAUGGUCGUACGCAAAAUUUGAAGUUGAGAGGCUGUCUGAAGUCGAUGAGUUUCGGUGCCCAGCCUGCACACCCUCAAUGUUAGCUGUCUCAGUGGAUGGGAACCGCAAGCUUUAUCGCUUUAAGAGCCAUUCAGGACCAAAUGGCUUUUUCGAAGGUGUCUUUUUGGCCAACGACACAGAGGUGACCUCUUUUGUCAACCACAUCAGGGCAUCAACAGGACAUAAUCCUGGGAAAGGCAGGUGUGGUGGAAGCGAAUGGGUGGCUGCACGAGAGUCCUGAGGAGCUCAAGAAAUUGGCUGGAGAGUUGUCUAUUCAGGAAGACACUGUUCAGCAAUGGGUGUCUGAUGUUCAACAGUGGACUGCAGAAGGAGCAUGCAGUCAAAAUGAACUUGAAAAAACCAUUGAAGGACUGUAUCUCAGCAUUAAGCAGCGGAAAUAUCAGCUGUAUCGUCAGGCUGAUGGCAACAAGAGAAGACAUCUGCUUAGAAAAAAGAUUUCAGUGGAAAAGAGAUCCUUAGAAGAUGCCAUCACAAAAUACAAUGCUGUUGUGCCGGAAACUGGCAAACUCCCUUCUCCCAACGAGCUCCUGGCUGAGGAAAACUAUUCCUGGCCUUGGGAAUGUCAUGGUGAUAUGUUAAAGAAAAAAAAAGUCUUUGACAAGGUAAUGCUGCUGAACCGACUGAAGGAAGAGGAGGUCAUUGUUGUCCGUGAAGUCAAGCAGCACUGGGAGUACAUGAGGAAUAUGGCUGGAAAUAUUGAAGAGAUUUCCUCCCAGCUUUCAGAAGGGAUCACUCAGCAAAGCGGCACAGAAGCAUUGACUGGGAGAGGACGUGAGGGGCUACUCUGUCUGCUGAAGAGAAGACUGUCAGCAAUUCAAGCUCAGCAGGGUGCAGCUCGCUCAACGUACCAACAUGUUUUUGGAUCGCAAGCCUUGUCUCUCGAUGAUUCGUCCACUGAUGAUGAAGAACCCCAUGAUAGCAGCUCCUCCACCGAAGAUGAAGAACACUAGCAUUGUAGCUCCUCUUCUGAACUUUGACCUCCCUCAUUAAAAAAUUAGGAAAACUGUAGUAAUUACCUGGCCUGCAGUAUGAAUGUGAAAUGUUAAAAUAAACUGUCCUGCAAUUGACUCUUUUUCUGAGUUAUGUACUAUUACUAUUUUGAAGUAGAUGCUGAUGCUUUUUAUGUAAAUUAUGAAUGAUUAAUUUGAGAUUUGUUGGUAGGGCAGUGAAAUACGGCUUUUCAUGCAGCCUCA